Molecule: ribosomal RNA, 253 nt
Filed under: uncultured bacterium
Lineage: Bacteria
Description: partial 16S ribosomal RNA
Rfam family: Bacterial small subunit ribosomal RNA
Source: RNAcentral
UACGUAGGGAGCAAGCGUUGUUCGGAUUUACUGGGCGUAAAGGGCGCGUAGGCGGCGCGGUAAGUCACUUGUGAAAUCUCUGAGCUUAACUCAGAACGGCCAAGUGAUACUGCAGUGCUAGAGUGCAGAAAGGGCAAUCGGAAUUCUUGGUGUAGCGGUGAAAUGCGUAGAUAUCAAGAGGAACACCUGAGGCGAAGGCGGGUUGCUAGGCUGACACUGACGCUGAGGCGCGAAAGCGUGGGUAGCAAACAGG